CAGUGAGAGCUGAGAGGCAGUAG
This 23-nucleotide non-coding RNA is filed under the name Cricetulus griseus (Chinese hamster). The record is from RNAcentral. Lineage: Eukaryota; Metazoa; Chordata; Mammalia; Rodentia; Cricetidae.